AAUCAACGCUGGCGGCGUGCCUAACACAUGCAAGUCGAACGCGAAAGGGGAGCAAUCCCUGAGUAGAGUGGCAAACGGGUGAGUAACACGUGGGUGACCUGCCUUCGAGUGGGGGAUAACGUUCCGAAAGGAACGCUAAUACCGCAUGACAUCCUGCUUUUGGAGAAGCGGAGAUCAAAGCUGGGGAUUCGCAAGAACCUAGCGCUUGAAGAGGGGCCCGCGCCUGAUUAGCUAGUUGGUGGGGUAACGGCUCACCAAGGCUUCGAUCAGUAUCCGGCCUGAGAGGGCGGACGGACACACUGGGACUGAGACACGGCCCAGACUCCUACGGGAGGCAGCAGUGGGGAAUUGUUCGCAAUGGGCGCAAGCCUGACGACGCAACGCCGCGUGGAGGAUGAAGAUUUUCGGAUCGUAAACUCCUGUCGAGUGGGAAGAAUAGCUUCCGGGCGAAUAUCCCGGAAGUCUGACGGUACCACUAAAGGAAGCCCCGGCUACCUCCGUGCCAGCAGCCGCGGUAAUACGGGGGGGGC
This 530-nucleotide ribosomal RNA is filed under the name uncultured bacterium. RNAcentral's name for it is "bacterial SSU rRNA". It matches the Rfam family "Bacterial small subunit ribosomal RNA", at positions 32 to 535 of the family's 1533-position model. The record is from RNAcentral.